RNAcentral lists this long non-coding RNA (1011 nucleotides) under Taeniopygia guttata (zebra finch). RNAcentral describes it as "lncRNA (ENSTGUG00000027211.1)". The record is from RNAcentral. Lineage: Eukaryota; Metazoa; Chordata; Aves; Passeriformes; Estrildidae.
AUGGCUCUGCCGAGGGGAGCAGCCAGGGAGCUGUGCUGGUGUGGGUGCUGCUGGCAUCCCUGCUCCUGCCAGAGCCCAGCUGCACCCCAGGGGCCGCCCUGGCAGGGCUCUGGCUCCUGGCAUCACAUCUGGUGCCAUUUCCCAGCCUCUGGUCACUCUCCCUGCAGGACGGAAUGUGCCCGGGGAGCCGGGGAUAAAACCCCCAGGUCACGGGGAGGGGAGACCCCAGGAGACUCUAAUCUAUCUAUUGGCAUAAUUAAGGCUAUAAUAUUCUAUCUACAGAGGAUGGCUGAAUCCCUAGUGGUCUCUGGGGCUCAAAAACAAAAGGAGAAGGUGGCAAUGGCUCGAGGAGCAGCAAGGUUCCCGCUCCCUUGGGAAAACAGAGCCUCUGGCUGGCUGCUGGUGGGCUUUGCUCCGGCUGGUGGGGGGCUGUGUGCCCUUCCCACCACACCCACACACGGAGGGCAAGUCCACAGGUACAUUUUACACUUAAAUCCAGAGGCAGAGCUGUGCCCCGGGGCGCUGGCGGGUGCAGGACGGAUCCGGGGUGCGGGUGGGUGCUGGGACGUGUAUGGCUUAUCAGCUACAGGGCAGGGUGCUGGGUGGGUGCUCAGGGUGGGUGCUGUGCCCUGCUCCUCUGGGUUUGGGGCUUUGGGCUGGAUUUGGGGCCGGCUGCCCAGUGGGAACACGGACAGGUCUUCUCGCCCCGCUUGCUUUGCAGGGUGUGGGAGCCAGUGUGGAUCAAGCCACAGGGCCUGGCCAGUCUCCCAACCAUCCAAGGAGCUGGAGAGGAGCCAGCUCCUCUGCACGGACCAGAGACAUCCAUCCCCAGGCUGUGCCAGCAGGAGCCCUGUGCCCAGCUGGCUGCAGCCCCCCAGCCCCUCUCUCCUGGCUCAAAGGCAGCAGAGGCCAGAGCAGCACUGGCUGCAGGCAGGGCAUCCCUCUCCCACCCUCUGCAGCCUCCACAGCUGCACCCAUCACCCACCAGGACCCAGCUCAGCACGGGGGUGA